RNAcentral lists this ribosomal RNA (886 nucleotides) under Listeria monocytogenes. RNAcentral describes it as "partial 23S ribosomal RNA". It matches the Rfam family "Bacterial large subunit ribosomal RNA", at positions 646 to 1529 of the family's 2925-position model. Lineage: Bacteria; Bacillati; Bacillota; Bacilli; Caryophanales; Listeriaceae. The record is from RNAcentral.
UUAAGCGGAAAAAGCGGAGCCGUAGCGAAAGCGAGUCUGAAUAGGGCGCAUAAGUAACAGGUCGUAGACCCGAAACCAGGUGAUCUACCCAUGUCCAGGAUGAAGGUAAGGUAAUACUUACUGGAGGUCCGAACCCACGCACGUUGAAAAGUGCGGGGAUGAGGUGUGGGUAGCGGAGAAAUUCCAAUCGAACUUGGAGAUAGCUGGUUCUCUCCGAAAUAGCUUUAGGGCUAGCCUCGAGGUAAAGAGUCAUGGAGGUAGAGCACUGUUUGGACUAGGGGCCCUUCUCGGGUUACCGAAUUCAGAUAAACUCCGAAUGCCAUGUACUUAUACUCGGGAGUCAGACUGCGAGUGAUAAGAUCCGUAGUCGAAAGGGAAACAGCCCAGACCACCAGUUAAGGUCCCCAAAUAUAUGUUAAGUGGAAAAGGAUGUGGGGUUGCUUAGACAACCAGGAUGUUGGCUUAGAAGCAGCCACCAUUGAAAGAGUGCGUAAUAGCUCACUGGUCGAGUGACCCCGCGCCGAAAAUGUACCGGGGCUAAACAUAUUACCGAAACUGUGGAUGAACCUCUUUAGAGGUUCGUGGUAGGAGAGCGUUCUAAGGGCGGUGAAGUCAGACCGGAAGGACUGGUGGAGCGCUUAGAAGUGAGAAUGCCGGUAUGAGUAGCGAAAGAAGGGUGAGAAUCCCUUCCACCGAAUAUCUAAGGUUUCCUGAGGAAGGCUCGUCCGCUCAGGGUUAGUCGGGACCUAAGCCGAGGCCGAUAGGCGUAGGCGAUGGACAACAGGUAGAGAUUCCUGUACCAGUGCUAAUUGUUUAACCGAUGGGGUGACACAGAAGGAUAGGGAAUCGCACGAAUGGAAAUGUGCGUCCAAGCAGUGAGUGUGAG